RNAcentral lists this ribosomal RNA (258 nucleotides) under uncultured archaeon. Its description in RNAcentral is "partial 16S ribosomal RNA". It matches the Rfam family "Archaeal small subunit ribosomal RNA", at positions 729 to 982 of the family's 1478-position model. The record is from RNAcentral.
UUAGACGUACCCGGGUACGUCCCAGACCGUAAACUAUGCGCGUUAGGUGUAUCGGUGACCACGAGUUACCGAGGUGCCGAAGGGAAACCGUGAAACGUGCCGCCUGGGAAGUACGGUCGCAAGGCUGAAACUUAAAGGAAUUGGCGGGGGAGCACCACAACAGGUGGAGCCUGCGGUUUAAUAGGACUCAACGCCGGGAAGCUCACCGGAUAGGACAGCAGAAUGAUUGCCGGGCUGAAGACCCUGCAUGACUAGCUG